GACGAACGCUGGCGGCGUGCUUAACACAUGCAAGUCGAACGGAAAGGCCCUGCUUUUGUGGGGUGCUCGAGUGGCGAACGGGUGAGUAACACGUGAGUAACCUGCCCUUGACUUUGGGAUAACUUCAGGAAACUGGGGCUAAUACCGGAUAGGAGCUCCUGCUGCAUGGUGGGGGUUGGAAAGUUUCGGCGGUUGGGGAUGGACUCGCGGUUUAUCAGCUUGUUGGUGGGGUAGUGGAUUACCAAGGCUUUGACGGGUAGCCGGACUGAGAGGGUGACCGGCCACAUUGGGACUGAGAUACGGCCCAGACUCCUACGGGAGGCAGCAGUGGGGAAUAUUGCACAAUGGGCGGAAGCCUGAUGCAGCAACGCCGCGUGCGGGAUGACGGCCUUCGGGUUGUAAACCGCUUUCGCCUGUGACGAAGCGUGAGUGACGGUAAUGGGUAAAGAAGCACCGGCUAACUACGUG
RNAcentral lists this ribosomal RNA (468 nucleotides) under uncultured bacterium. RNAcentral describes it as "partial 16S ribosomal RNA". It matches the Rfam family "Bacterial small subunit ribosomal RNA", at positions 28 to 507 of the family's 1533-position model. The record is from RNAcentral.